This is a long non-coding RNA of Mus pahari (shrew mouse), 350 nucleotides long. RefSeq lists it as uncharacterized. The transcript is spliced from 4 exons. The record is from RefSeq and is a predicted model, not a curated record. Lineage: Eukaryota; Metazoa; Chordata; Mammalia; Rodentia; Muridae.
CUGAGCUGCUACUGAGCCCUCUGCUCUCCCCUCCUGAGGUGGAGUCAGUGUGCUGGACCAAGGCUAUUGCUACUCAAGAUGACCUGAGUUUGACCCCAGGAACCCAGAGUGAAAUGAGAGAGCUGACUCCCAGAAGAUGGCUUCAGACCACCACAACACAGAUAUCGGUCCAGAGAGGUUGCCGUUGUGCCCAGGACCACACAGCCAAGCCUCUUGUUGGAUGGCAGGUCUUCAAGCCCUUCCCCCAGGAGCCUCAUCAGCCUCUAGCUCCCUCCCUCUAAUGCCUUGUUAAGUAUUUUCUCCUCUUGGUGGUCAUUUUUGUUGUACAAUCAAUAAACCACUCACAGAAA